This is a long non-coding RNA of Bacillus rossius redtenbacheri, 286 nucleotides long. RefSeq lists it as uncharacterized. The record is from RefSeq and is a predicted model, not a curated record. The transcript has 3 exons. NCBI's taxonomy places the organism in Eukaryota, Metazoa, Arthropoda, Insecta, Phasmatodea, Bacillidae.
AAAGGCAGCAACUGGAAACAAAACUCCAGUGGUAUGCCUAAGCAGCAUUGAUGUACGAAUAUUGGCCAUAUUAGGGCCAGCUUCAUCUGCGGGGAUGCCACUGGAGGAAGGUGGUUUUGGUCCUCAAGUUAUGAAUGUGGAAGUGCAAAGUGAACAAGUUGAAAGAAAUUGGCUUUGGGAAGUUAUUGACGACCCAAUGGUUGAAGUCCCAAACACCAGUUUCGCGUGCGACACCAGUGAUGCCGCCGGCCCCAGUGCCGCGCCCGGCCCCAGUGCCGCGCCCGGC